UCUGGUCGAUGGAACAAUGUA
This 21-nucleotide non-coding RNA is filed under the name Arabidopsis thaliana (thale cress). Lineage: Eukaryota; Viridiplantae; Streptophyta; Magnoliopsida; Brassicales; Brassicaceae. The record is from RNAcentral.